GAAUGUAGGCUGCAACUCGCCAACAUGAAGCCGGAAUCGCAAGAAAUCGUGGAUCAGCAUGCCACGGAGAAUACGAUCCCGGGCCUUGUACACACCGCCCGACACACCACGAGAGUUAGAAACACCCGAAGUCGGUAGGGUAACCAAUAAGGAGCCAGCCGCCGAAGGUGGGACAGAUAAUAGGGGAGAAGACGUAACAAGGUAGCCGUAUCGGUAGGUGCGGCAGGAUC
Molecule: ribosomal RNA, 230 nt
Filed under: Listeria monocytogenes
Lineage: Bacteria; Bacillati; Bacillota; Bacilli; Caryophanales; Listeriaceae
Description: partial 16S ribosomal RNA
Rfam family: Bacterial small subunit ribosomal RNA
Source: RNAcentral